This 106-nucleotide non-coding RNA is filed under the name unclassified sequences. RNAcentral's name for it is "SAM-I-IV sequence". It matches the Rfam family "SAM-I/IV (S-adenosyl methionine) riboswitch aptamer". Rfam says of the family: It is found upstream of a number of genes which code for proteins involved in methionine or cysteine biosynthesis. The record is from Rfam by way of RNAcentral.
UCGCUACAUCACGAGCGACCAACUGGUCCGGCAACCGGGAAUCCACGGUGCCAAGUCACUUCGGUGACGAUGUGGCCCCGCAAGGGGCAACGGACCCGUGACUCGC